UUAAGUGAAUAAGGGCGCACGGUGGAUGCCUUGGCACUAGGAGCCGAUGAAGGACGGGACUAACACCGAUAUGCUUUGGGGAGCUGUAAGUAAGCUAUGAUCCAGAGAUUUCCGAAUGGGGGAACCCAAUAUCUUUUAUAGGAUAUUACUUUUCAGUGAAUACAUAGCUGAUUAGAGGUAGACGCAGAGAACUGAAACAUCUUAGUACCUGCAGGAAGAGAAAGAAAAUUCGAUUCCCUGAGUAGCGGCGAGCGAAACGGGAAGAGCCCAAACCAACAAGCUUGCUUGUUGGGGUUGUAGGACUCCAAUAUGGUAGUCUGUUAGUAUAGUUGAAGGAUUUGGAAAAUUCCGCUAAAGAGGGUGAAAGCCCCGUAGACGAAAUGCUAACAACACCUAGGAGGAUCCUGAGUACGGCGGAACACGAGAAAUUCCGUCGGAAUCCGCGGGGACCAUCCCGCAAGGCUAAAUACUCCCUAGUGACCGAUAGUGAACCAGUACCGUGAGGGAAAGGUGAAAAGCACCCCGGAAGGGGAGUGAAAUAGAUCCUGAAACCGUGUGCCUACAACAAGUCAAAGCUCGUUAAUGAGUGAUGGCGUGCCUUUUGUAGAAUGAACCGGCGAGUUACGAUUGCAUGCGAGGUUAAGUCGAAGAGACGGAGCCGCAGCGAAAGCGAGUCUGAAUAGGGCGAAUGAGUAUGUAGUCGUAGACCCGAAACCAUGUGAUCUACCCAUGUCCAGGUUGAAGGUGCGGUAAAACGCACUGGAGGACCGAACCCACGUACGUUGAAAAGUGCGGGGAUGAGGUGUGGGUAGCGGAGAAAUUCCAAACGAACUUGGAGAUAGCUGGUUCUCUCCGAAAUAGCUUUAGGGCUAGCCUCGGAAUUGAGAAUGAUGGAGGUAGAGCACUGUUUGGACUAGGGGCCCAUCUCGGGUUACCGAAUUCAGAUAAACUCCGAAUGCCAUUCAUUUAUAUCCGGGAGUCAGACUGCGAGUGAUAAGAUCCGUAGUCGAAAGGGAAACAGCCCAGACCACCAGCUAAGGUCCCAAAAUAUAUGUUAAGUGGAAAAGGAUGUGGGGUUGCACAGACAACUAGGAUGUUGGCUUAGAAGCAGCCACCAUUUAAAGAGUGCGUAAUAGCUCACUAGUCGAGUGACCCUGCGCCGAAAAUGUACCGGGGCUAAACAUAUUACCGAAGCUGUGGACUACACCAUUAGGUGUAGUGGUAGGAGAGCGUUCUAAGGGCGUUGAAGGUCGAUCGUGAGGACGGCUGGAGCGCUUAGAAGUGAGAAUGCCGGUAUGAGUAGCGAAAGACAGGUGAGAAUCCUGUCCACCGUAUGACUAAGGUUUCCUGGGGAAGGCUCGUCCGCCCAGGGUUAGUCGGGACCUAAGCCGAGGCCGAUAGGCGUAGGCGAUGGACAACAGGUUGAUAUUCCUGUACCAGUUGUUUUUGUUUGAGCAAUGGAGGGACGCAGUAGGCUAAGGAAUGCAUGCGAUUGGAAGUGCAUGUCCAAGCAAUGAGUCUUGAGUAGAGUUAAAUGCUUUACUCUCUAAGGACAAGUUGUGACGGGGAGCGAAAUAAUAGUAGCGAAGUUCCUGAUGUCACACUGCCAAGAAAAGCUUCUAGUGAGAAAACAACUGCCCGUACCGUAAACCGACACAGGUAGUCGAGGAGAGUAUCCUAAGGUGAGCGAGCGAACUCUCGUUAAGGAACUCGGCAAAAUGACCCCGUAACUUCGGGAGAAGGGGUGCUGACUUCGGUCAGCCGCAGUGAAUAGGCCCAAGCGACUGUUUAUCAAAAACACAGGUCUCUGCAAAAUCGUAAGAUGAAGUAUAGGGGCUGACGCCUGCCCGGUGCUGGAAGGUUAAGAGGAUGGGUUAGCUUCGGCGAAGCUCAGAAUUGAAGCCCCAGUAAACGGCGGCCGUAACUAUAACGGUCCUAAGGUAGCGAAAUUCCUUGUCGGGUAAGUUCCGACCCGCACGAAAGGCGUAACGAUUUGGGCACUGUCUCAACGAGAGACUCGGUGAAAUUUUAGUACCUGUGAAGAUGCAGGUUACCCGCGACAGGACGGAAAGACCCCAUGGAGCUUUACUGUAGUUUGAUAUUGAGUGUUUGUACCACAUGUACAGGAUAGGUAGGAGCCGAUGAGACCGGAACGCUAGUUUCGGAGGAGGCGCUGGUGGGAUACUACCCUUGUGUUAUGAACCCUCUAACCCGCACCACUAAUCGUGGUGGGAGACAGUGUCAGAUGGGCAGUUUGACUGGGGCGGUCGCCUCCUAAAAGGUAACGGAGGCGCCCAAAGGUUCCCUCAGAACGGUCGGAAAUCGUUCGAAGAGUGCAAA
This 2340-nucleotide ribosomal RNA is filed under the name human gut metagenome. RNAcentral describes it as "bacterial LSU rRNA". It matches the Rfam family "Bacterial large subunit ribosomal RNA", at positions 1 to 2355 of the family's 2925-position model. The record is from RNAcentral.